This 420-nucleotide ribosomal RNA is filed under the name uncultured cyanobacterium. RNAcentral's name for it is "bacterial SSU rRNA". The stretch from base 101 to 420 matches the Rfam family "Bacterial small subunit ribosomal RNA", at positions 874 to 1194 of the family's 1533-position model. Lineage: Bacteria; Bacillati; Cyanobacteriota. The record is from RNAcentral.
UGCCCCCUAAAUUCUAAUCCGUAAAUCCAAUAACACUAAAGUUAUUGCUGGUUUCCCACAUCCGACACGUUCCCAAAUCCUAGAUUUUAAUUUUCCCCCUUGGGGAGGAAUCCACCGAGUGUUAAGCUCAAAGAACUUGACGGCGGCCCAGCGCAAACGGUGGAGUAUGUGGUUUAAUUCGAUGCAACAGGAAGAACCUUACCAGGACUUGACAUGUCGCGAAUCCUACGGAAACGUGGGAGUGCCUUCGGGAACGCGAACACAGGUGGGUCAUGGCUGUCGUCAGCUCGUGUCGUGAGAUGUUGGGUUAAGUCCCGCAACGAGCGCAACCCUCGUCCUGAUUUGUCAGCAUUCAGUUGGGCACUCUAGGGAGACUGCCGGUGACAAACCGGAGGAAGGUGGGGAUGACGUCAAGUCAUC